GGGGGAUUAGCUCAGUUGGUAGAGCGCUCGCUUAGCGUGCGAGAGGUGCCGGGAUCGAAGCCCGGGUUCUCCA
Molecule: transfer RNA, 73 nt
Filed under: Spraguea lophii 42_110
Lineage: Eukaryota; Fungi; Microsporidia; Spragueidae
Rfam family: tRNA
About the family: Transfer RNA (tRNA) molecules are approximately 80 nucleotides in length.
Source: Rfam by way of RNAcentral